CUUGCCUACGGGAGGCAGCAGUGGGGAAUAUUGGGCAAUGGACGCAAGUCUGACCCAGCAACGCCGCGUGAAGGAAGAAGGCUUUCGGGUUGUAAACUUCUUUUAAGGGGGAAGAGCAGAAGACGGUACCCCUUGAAUAAGCCACGGCUAACUACAUGCCAGCAGCCGCGGUAAUACGUAGGUGGCAAGCGUUGUCCGGAUUUACUGGGUGUAAAGGGCGUGCAGCCGGAGAGACAAGUCAGAUGUGAAAGCAGCAGGAUCAACCUGCGAACUGCAUUUGAAACUGUUUC
RNAcentral lists this ribosomal RNA (290 nucleotides) under uncultured bacterium. RNAcentral's name for it is "partial 16S ribosomal RNA". It matches the Rfam family "Bacterial small subunit ribosomal RNA", at positions 334 to 639 of the family's 1533-position model. The record is from RNAcentral.